UAGGGAAUCUUCCACAAUGGACGAAAGUCUGAUGGAGCAACGCCGCAUGAGUGAAGAAGGUUUUCGGAUCGUAAAGCUCUGUUGUUGGUGAAGAAGGAUAGAGGCAGUAACUGGUCUUUAUUUGACGGUAAUCAACCAGAAAGUCACGGCUAACUACGUGCCAG
Molecule: ribosomal RNA, 164 nt
Filed under: uncultured bacterium
Lineage: Bacteria
Description: partial 16S rRNA
Rfam family: Bacterial small subunit ribosomal RNA
Source: RNAcentral